This is a non-coding RNA of Phascolarctos cinereus (koala), 493 nucleotides long. NCBI's taxonomy places the organism in Eukaryota, Metazoa, Chordata, Mammalia, Diprotodontia, Phascolarctidae. The record is from RefSeq and is a predicted model, not a curated record.
UCUCAAGGAACUCACAGUCUAAUGGUAAGGCAACUUGAAAAUAACUUCGUACAAACAAGAUAUAUACAGGGUAAAAUCAACAGAGUAAAGGCACUAGCCUUAAAGAGAACCAUGAAAGGCUUUCUUACAGAAGACAAAAUUUUAGCUGGGUCCAUUAUGGAAGCUCAUGAAGACCAUCCACAGAGGAAUUUGGAUUGGUUUCUCUGAUGAGAACGCUGAUCCUUUAAGUAAUAAAGUAGUUGAUUGCCAACUCUGAGGAUCAGAAUAUCAUUCAUCAGAAGAGACCCCAAGUUGCCUAAACCAACUUAUACAUAAAAAAGAGUUCAAUCUGCAACCUAUUGAACAAGGAAGAUUUUGAUUCAAAUAGAAUUCAUAGACCGGUAACUUACUAGCUCUGGGGCCUUGAGAGGACCUCGAUGGCCAUCUGAUCUAACAAGAAUAUCCUCUACAAUAGGCCUGAAAAUUGGACAGCAGCUGUUGCUUGAAGAACUCA